Molecule: non-coding RNA, 149 nt
Organism: Xyrichtys novacula (pearly razorfish)
Lineage: Eukaryota; Metazoa; Chordata; Actinopteri; Labriformes; Labridae
Source: the annotation of a GenBank genome assembly
ACCUAGUUAAAUCCUGAGACAUUACCUGGUUGUAACCUGGUUAUAUCCUGAGACAUUACCCAGUUAUAACCUGGUUAUAACCUAGUUAUAUCCUGAGACAUUACCUGGUUAUAACCUGGUUAUAACCUGGUUAUGUCCUGAAACAUUAC